Molecule: transfer RNA, 87 nt
Filed under: Thermoplasmatales archaeon
Lineage: Archaea; Methanobacteriati; Thermoplasmatota; Thermoplasmata; Thermoplasmatales
Also listed under: 1 other name
Description: tRNA-Leu
Rfam family: tRNA
About the family: Transfer RNA (tRNA) molecules are approximately 80 nucleotides in length. Their secondary structure includes four short double-helical elements and three loops (D, anti-codon, and T loops).
Source: RNAcentral
GCAGGGGUAGUCAAGCUUGGCCAACGGCGCAGGACUUAGGAUCCUGUCCCUAGAGGUUCAUGGGUUCAAAUCCCAUCCCCUGCACCA